Molecule: ribosomal RNA, 108 nt
Filed under: Odonthalia dentata
Lineage: Eukaryota; Rhodophyta; Florideophyceae; Ceramiales; Rhodomelaceae
Description: partial small subunit ribosomal RNA
Rfam family: Eukaryotic small subunit ribosomal RNA
Source: RNAcentral
GCGUUAACGAGCGAGACCUGGGCGUGCUAAAUAGGGCAUGUUAUUCUUGUAAUAGCAUCGCCCUUCUUAGACGGACUGUAGGCUUUUAGUCUAUGGAAGCUCCAGGCA